This 6271-nucleotide long non-coding RNA is filed under the name Sus scrofa (pig). RNAcentral describes it as "lncRNA (ENSSSCG00000052723.1)". The record is from RNAcentral. Lineage: Eukaryota; Metazoa; Chordata; Mammalia; Artiodactyla; Suidae.
CUUCCCUGCAGCAUAUAAGUUCCCAGGCUGGGGAAUGAACAGGCUUCCUGGGGCUGCAGAGACACCACUGAUUUCAUUGCGCCACAGUGGGAACUCCUAUGAUAGUCCUUUUCUCCCCCUUAGGGCCACACCCUCAGCAUAUGGAAGUUACCAGGCUAGGGGUCAAAUUAGAGCUGCAGCUGCAGGCCUACACCACAGUCACAGCUACGCCAGAUCCGAGCUGCGUCUACGACAUACACCGCAGCUCACUGCAAAGCCAGAUCCUCAACCCACUGAGCAGGGCCAGGGAUCGAACCAGCGUCCUCAAGGAUACUAGUUGGGUUCAUUACCACUGAGACACCAUGGGAACUCCUCCAAUGAUAGACUUUUUAAAAACGUUCUUCCUAAUAGUCCAGAAAAUUGUAUAUGUUCAAAAUCUUCUCUUCCUGGCUUUAAGCUACUGAAGGACAGGAACAAGCUUUGGCUUAUCCUCCAAGGCACCUAAAUUAGAGGCUCGGAUGAAGACAAGGGCCAGCAAAAGUCAUGAAAUUGUGUUACUUACUAGUUUUCCAGGGCUGCUCUUGCAAAGUAAUAACACCCACAGAAUGCGUGGCUUAAACAGAGAUUUCUUUUCUUACAACGCUGGAACUGCGUGUCUGAGAUCAAGGUGUUGGUGAAUGGAUGUAUAUUUACAUGUGUGUGCAUAUACACACAACAGCACACAGGGUGUUUGUUGUCUGUAUAUAUCAUGGCAGACCUAUAAAUAUGUCUAGGUUUGAAUGAUGCAAUUAAAGUUUCCUAUUUUCUUCCAUAUAGUUUCCUUUAUAUAUUUUCAUAUUUAUAAGGUACUUAUCUCUAUGUAUUCUGUAAUAUGUACCCAUUCCUUUUGUUACCAAAACAACCUAACAUCCAUUAGAGCCCUGGAGAACUGAGCACAGCUCCCGUUACGUGAGAAAGUGUAUAGAAACGUUGUCCCAUUGAGCUGUGUGACAUCAUUUACCAAAAGAGGGCAUUGGAUCUUAUUGUCAAAAAACCCCCUCCGUUCCUCUGAUUAAAUACAGUCAAAAUUAGUGCCUCCGAUCCUGCUUGGACUGCCCAAAAUACUCGCUCUAUUUUAUGGUUCCUAGCUCCCUUGGGAUUAAUUAUUUCCUAUUGAUCUUAUUAUGCAAUAGACAGCUGCUUCAUUUUCCUUUUGAAUAACGCUUUUCAUUGCCUCUUAUACUUCCCCCGAUGAUGCUGUUUGGGGGAAGACACCUCUUCCUUAACCCAGUGGGUUUUCUAUCCAAUUUAUCUGGGGAGAUCUUAGGAAGUACAAAUGGCCCAUCGCUAUGCUAAGAGAUUCUGAUUUGUCUUGCCCGAGGCUUAUUAUUUUUUUUUUUUAAGUUCCCCAGAGCUUUAAACAGGGAGCCAGAUUUAAGAAACACUGCCUUAUCCAUGAGCAUGCUCACUGUCCUUGAACUUGCCCGAGGAGGAUGGCUAGCCUUCCUCAAAGCAACCUGUGUCAGGGGAGCAGGGUGACAGUGGAGGCCGGGUCGGCGGCAAAUCCUCCACUCCCUCGGAUGCUCGCAUUCUGUCAGAAGCAUCCCAUUUUCAGGCAGACCUAACUGUUAGGAAGCUCUUCAUCCAAGUGUGAGUUUGAGGCUUGGAGUCUUUUCUACGCCAGCCCAGCAGCUGUGUAAAAGUGGCUUCACCACCCUCCUUGUCGUCUCUUCUCAAAGCAAAGCCCACGGGUCCUCUUAACCAUCCUUCUCGCACAUACACGCUCCUCACAUCCUAUUUCUUGGUUCCCACUUCCUGUCAAGCUCCCGGUGUAUCACCUGCUACCACCUGGCUGACACUCACUGUGUUUUUCUUUUUUCCCUUUUUUUUCUUUUUGCUUUUUAGGGCCGCUCCCGGAGCACAUGGAGGUUCCCAGGCUAGGAGUCAAAUCGGAGCUACAGCUGCUGGCCUCCGCCACAGCCACAGCCACACCGGAUCCUUAACCCACUGAAGGAGACCAGGGAUUGAACCCGCAUCCUCAUGGAUAUGAGUCAGGUUCAUUACCCCUGAGCCAUGACAGGAACGCCCCACUCACUGUGUUUUACUGUUCAUUUCUGGAGCCUCUAGAGUCUGGCCCUUCACCAUGGCUCCUGAUGGGCAGACCUUCCCACAGCAGGCCACCUGUCUCCCAGGUGGGUACCAACGGGAGCAUUUAUCUUUGCCCUCAGACAAAUGCAUUCAAUCGUGCGUUGAGGUGGGGGAAAAAGGACCUGCCCUUUUGCCUCAAACUUCACUUCUGUGAAGUGCGUGAAGGGUCCUCCUGGCCUUAGAAGUGCCAAAGGGAUCAACUGAGAGCUGUGUGUUGACGGCAUCACCGGCCAACCUUGCUCUCUGCUCAGGUCUGUGGACUUAAGGAUGCAGGGAGGAGAAUAAGAUAACUUUUCAAGCAGGAAUGACCAAGUCACCUGGCUGCGGUACAGUCCUCCUGCUUCCACAUGAAGAAGUCCUGCGGGGCACCUUAAGAUGCAGGAGAUGACUAUCUGGGAUGCUUUAAAAUAGCCUUGGCAAGGCAACCCUGCCCUGAGAAGGAAUGAGAGCUGGGCGUCCUUCUAGCUCCGUCAGCACCUCCCUGGAUCCCUGGGUACCACUCUGUGGACAUCCCUCCUUUCUGACCCGGCUUAGUCCUACUUACCUGGUUCUCCUGGACUUCUGCCCCGGUGACUUUGCACCUGUUCCAGCCCUAAUCCCCAGCUCUGAUCUCCAUCCUGUAAGACCCCUGGCUUUCUUAGGCCACCUCCUGACCGGCCCCGGACUCCCAGGCAGCCUCAAAUCACAGGUUGUGAGUCCUACAAAGCUGCCUUGUUUUAUGACCCCAUUCCAGUCUCAAUUUCUAGCCUCAGACCCAUAAGGCCAACUGAUGGCGGGGUGUCUCCAUCUGGGGUCCCUCAGGGGGCAUCUCCAAUUCUUUGCAUCCCAGUGCUUUAGUUUCUCCUCCACCCUUCAAACCUUUUCUUUAACAUGUUUUUACAUGUCAGUGGGGGAUGAUAGGACCCCAUCACUUGGGAUCACUGUUUCAGUAUAUUCAAUACUUGAAAGACAUCAUUGAGUUUGUAUAUAGAAGUAUACGGCCAAUUACUCGAGGUAGCCAUUGAGUGUUGAUGAUGCAUCAAUAACUCUUCUCUGAUGAAAAGUGCAGCUCUUUCCAUAAAGACAGAGUCAAAUGGGGGCUGUGGCCAAGCCCGGACCGUGGGUGUUCUCCUAAUUUCUUCACACUCCUCCUCUGUCCACACCCCGUGUGCAAUGGUCAGGUCCUACAGCCUGUACCACCUCUGGUAGCUCUCAUGCCCCUCCUCCUUCUGCCUGCCCUCCCCUGCCACGGGCCCGACCGAGUCCUAGGAGCACAGAACCAACUUGAAGCUCUUCAGCUGAGUGUAUAACACCCUGUCCUACUCUCCUUCCCUCCCAACCUCCUUUACCCAACUAUUUGGUUUCAAAAAACACCCCGACUGUCUGCAUUGCACUACCUUCCCUGAAGGACCAUGGGACCCAGUGCCCACAAUGCAGCUUUUGUCCUUUCGGAGAACUUGGGGAUAGAGCAGUUUUCACUGUUCAAGGAAUAUGAAACUUUGAAAUACAUAACAUAAAUAGAAGGAAACCUUAGCCCAUCAGAUUUGGCAGCUUCACAAAACGGACCCACACCUUCUGGUGACUCUUGGAUUCCAGUUUCCAGCUCGAGGCGGGCCGUGGGAGACCUGCUGAUGUAGUUAAUACUCAUGAGAAGCACCAGGGGGGUAGAAAAGGGAGUCGAGAGAGAAAGGCUCAGUGAAGAAGGUGGAGGUGGGAAGGGCCAUCGUUCUGCCCUCUGGAACUUAACAUUCAGAGGGAGACGGAUCUUCUUGUUUAGAGCUCUUCUGUAUUUCUUCGAGACACAUACUAAAGAAAGAGGUUUCAGUUGCCGACUUCGGGUUUCCCUGAAAGAUAAGAGGGAUGUGCUCUCUCGCACCUGCCACCACCUCGGGGCAGCCAUCAAAGGAUCUCUCUAUGGGCCCCCCCAGGUGUCCAUCACCUGGCCUGUCUCCCCUACCUCGAUCAGUAACUCCCGUCUUUUAUCCCUCAGGGCUGGGCGCAAUAGGGAAGAACAUAUCUGACUCCAUGUUGGAUCUGCUUCUUUAGCUUUUGUAUUCUGUUGUUAAAGUUAGUCACUGAAGGGAUGUUACCGUAGCUGAAAGGAUAGAUGAUGGCCUGUCUCCGGGACCCCUACCUCGCAGGCCUGAGGUUCAUUAAAGUACCUUUGUUUAGCACAGGAGUUCCCAUCGUGGCUCAGCACUAAUGAACCCAACUAGUAUCUAAGAGGACGCAGGUUCGAUCCCCGGCCCUACGCAGUGGCUUAAGGAUCCGGCAUUGCUGUGGCUGUGGUGUAGGCCAGCAGCUGAAGCUCUGAUUCAGUCCCUAGCCCGGGAACUUCCAAAUGUCACAGGUGCAGCCCUAAAAAGAAAAAACAAACAAAACAAAACAAAACAAAACUUUUGUUUAUCUCACGGGAAACAUCCUGACCAGGCCUACCUGCUAACACAUGGCCUCUAGAGUUCAGCAGGAACCAGGGAAUAUUUGCAAAAACUUAUCACUUCUUUGACGUUACACCUCACCUCCCCAUCUUUGUUUUUUAAAAGAGACGGCCAUCCAAACCUAAGCAAGGUGGUCGUUUGGGACACUCCGCCAGCCGUCCUCUUGGUCUGCUGGCUUCCCCCAUGCAGCCAAUACCCCCUGCCUCGACAGCUUGUCUCUCGAUGGAUUGGCCUGUUGAAUGGUGAGCAGUAUGAGCUUGGAUGCGCUCUAGCUUCUUUUUUUUUGUUGUUGUUGUUGUUGUUGUUGUUGUUGCUAUUUCUUGGUUCUUGGGCCGCUCCCGUGGCAUAUGGAGGAUCCCAGGCUAGGGGUUGAAUCGGAGCUGUAGCCACCAGCCUACGCCAGAGCCACAGCAACGCGGGAUCCGAGCCGCAUCUGCAACCUACACCACAGCUCAUGGCAACGCCGGAUCGUUAACCCACUGAGCAAGGGCAGGGAUCGAACCCGCAACCUCAUGGUUCCUAGACGGAUUCGUUAACCACUGCGCCACGACGGGAACUCCAGCUCUAGCUUCUUGUUAACAGACACUAGCCCAUCAGCUUUCCCCUCUCCAUCCGGGCUCUCUUAAAAAUGGAGACGUAGGAUCAUUGUGAGAAUCCAAGGAAAUAACGGGUGUAACCAUUUGUAGAUGGCCGGGCGUUAAAGCCAAUGGCUAUGGUUGCUAUGGUUAUUAGAGGAACCCAGUGACACCUAUGAAAACGCUUCUUGGUUGUAGAGUUAUACAUGGUAAAAGCUACUUAAAGAGACGUGUGGAUCUUUGAGGGGAUCUUAACAUCAACCAACCAGGAAAGACCUGCGGCGGUGACUGCAGACCCCACUGUGAACCACAGCUUCCUGAUGAGUAUCCGCCCCUUGGGGUUAAGAACAGAGCUCAGAUUCUGUUCUCUGGACGCAUGGAGCAUAAAGGAAAUUGAAGAUCCUUCAGUCUCAUCUUAGUGAUUCAUGAGCGGGAAGUAGAGCCUCUCCCAAAGAGGAAUGGUUGGCCCAGGUUAUUCAGCUGGAGAAAGUGGAAGUAGGACUGAUAAUAAUAGUAAUAAUACAAGGAUGUACAGCGUACAGUGAAGACACUGCUCAGACUAAUCCCACCCAGCCUUCAGCACCAUUCAGGGAUGGAGAGUGCUGGCCUACACCACAGCCACAGCAAUGCCAGAUCUGAGCCACAUCUGCGACCUACACCACAGUUCCUGGCAACGCUGGAUCCUUAACCCAUUGAGCAAGGCCAGGGAUUGAACCCACAUUGUCAUGGAUACCAGUUGGGUUCUUUACCGCUGAGCCGCAGCGGGAACUCCAAUAUUAUUUUCCCCCAUCAAACAAUGAAUAUUUAAAUGCUCUAGGAACCCAUGUAAUGCUUACAACACUCUUAUGGGUUUGGGUAUUGGUAAAGAUUUCCUUUGAAAAAAAUGCAUUCUUCUACUGAAAAUGCUUUAAAAACCCUAGACCUAGAAGAAAAACAAAAUGCUGAGGGAGUAAGAAAAUUGCACCCCUGGGUGGGUUUGCACAGAUGUGUGGAGCUGUGGGGUAUUAGGAUGGGAGCAGAGGAAAAGUGAAUCUAUUCAUCAGAUUCUCCAAGAACUCAAUGUGCAAGUGGGUCACCCCUGGGGAAAGGGCUUUCCAGGUCCCCGGGAGGCUCCCAGGAGGCCUUUACUGUGUCUCCCUCUGUUACUAAAAACCUCUCUCAAAGCAGGGACUC